UGCGUUAAAGUAUAAUUAUAAGUACAUAGAUAUUUGAAAUCUAAAGUUUAAACGCAU
This 57-nucleotide transfer RNA is filed under the name Trichuris suis (pig whipworm). RNAcentral's name for it is "tRNA-Gln". The record is from RNAcentral. Lineage: Eukaryota; Metazoa; Nematoda; Enoplea; Trichinellida; Trichuridae.